CCCGCUGAACUUAAGCAUAUCAAUAAGCGGAGGAAAAGAAACUAACAAGGAUUCCCUUAGUAACUGCGAGUGAAGAGGGAAGAGCUCAAAUUUAAAAUCGGGCAUCUGUCCGAGUUGUAAAUUAGAGAAGUGUUAUCUGCGCUGAACUGUGCAUAAGUCUCUUGGAAAAGGGCAUCAUAGAGGGUGACAAUCCCGUCUUUGGCACAGACUCUCAGGGCUUUGUGAUGCACUCUCAAUGAGUCGAGUUGUUUGGGAAUGCAGCUCUAAAUGGGUGGUAAAUUCCAUCUAAAGCUAAAUAUUGGCGAGAAACCGAUAGCGCACAAGUACCGUGAGGGAAAGAUGAAAAGUACUUUGAAAAGAGAGUUAAACAGUACGUGAAAUUGUUGAAAGGGAAACACUUGAAGUCAGACAUGUCCUUCAGAAAUCAACCUGACCGUCAGGUCUGGUGCACUUUCUGCUUGGAUGGGUCAGCAUCAAUUUUGAUCAUUGGACAAAGGUUAAGGGAAAGUGGCAUCUUUGGAUGUGUUAUAGCCCUUGGUCAUAUACAAUGGUUGGGAUUGAGGAUUGCAGUGCUUUCGGGUACUAAGGAUGCUGGCAUAAUGGCUUUAAUUGACCCGUCUUGAAACACGG
This 630-nucleotide ribosomal RNA is filed under the name uncultured fungus. RNAcentral's name for it is "eukaryotic LSU rRNA". It matches the Rfam family "Eukaryotic large subunit ribosomal RNA", at positions 24 to 664 of the family's 3401-position model. The record is from RNAcentral. Lineage: Eukaryota; Fungi.